UCAUAAAAUUAUUUUUAAAUUUUAAAAAUUGAAAAAGUUCGAAAAUCUCACCAAACAAUCUGGACCGUCCGAUUAUCGUUUUUUUCAAAUGGUGUCCAAUCAGAGCGGGACCAGUCCUACCUCGAAGAUCUCGUCGUCCUAAGUCCAUCGAUGGCCUCAGAUUUCCGAUCCGACGGUCGGAUCACCGAAAAAGUGAUCGAAAACCGAGAAACCAAUAUGAUUUUCUUCCAACUUUCUCUCGCCGGUUCUCUUUCCUCCGGCCACCAAACUGGGUGCCACUGGUCUCAUCUGAAAGUUCAUCAUCUUGGGAGUGUUCGUGGCACUUGAAAUCACCUGGAAUGGCUGCCGGAGUCGGCCGGGGCGACGCCGCGAAGUCGGGCCCUUGCUGCGCGCUCUCCCUCUCUCCUCUCUUUCCUCUCUCCUUCUCUCUCUUUCUGCUGCUUCCUGCUCGGUGCUGCUGUCGUCUGGUGGUUGCUCCGACACGGGGGGAGGCCGACGGUACCUCGCCGACACUGAUGCUGGCCGGCCGGAUGAAAAAAGGGAGGGAGAAAGUGAGGGGGAGAGUGGAGUCGGGGAGAGAGAAAUGGGGUGGGAGAGUGCUGCAUUUUUUUGUUUUUAAGUUU
Molecule: unclassified non-coding RNA, 623 nt
Filed under: Hevea brasiliensis (rubber tree)
Lineage: Eukaryota; Viridiplantae; Streptophyta; Magnoliopsida; Malpighiales; Euphorbiaceae
Source: RNAcentral